RNAcentral lists this RNase P RNA (305 nucleotides) under Minisyncoccota bacterium. RNAcentral describes it as "RNase P RNA component class A". It matches the Rfam family "Bacterial RNase P class A". From Rfam's summary of the family: Ribonuclease P (RNase P) is a ubiquitous endoribonuclease, found in archaea, bacteria and eukarya as well as chloroplasts and mitochondria. Its best characterised activity is the generation of mature 5'-ends of tRNAs by cleaving the 5'-leader elements of precursor-tRNAs. Lineage: Bacteria; Bacillati; Minisyncoccota. The record is from RNAcentral.
GGUAGGUAUCGGGUAGUUACUCCGACUUAGGUCGGAGAGGAAAGUCCGAACACGCAGCCCCUAUGGGGUUAAACGUAGCGGGUAACACCCGUCGCUCGCAAGAGUAGAGUUGAGAACAGUGACGAAUCCCUUUAGUGGGAGUGAAACGGCAAAAUACUUACGCGCGUGCAAGAUCGUGUCCUUCGACAAGCUCAGGACUAGUCCCGAGUAAAACCGAAGGAAGAAUCGCUUGACCCUGAGGGCAACCGAAGGGCUAGAUAAAUUACUAUCUAUUACAAAAUUCGGCUUAUAGAUACCUACACAAA